ACAAAACACAGCAUGGCUCAAACACGGCGACUCGAUGACUUUUAAAAAAUUAGAACACAGACACAAUAUGUAUACUGCUAAUACAAUAUAGUAUUAUUAAUGAAAUGCGUGUCGAUUACGCAUUUUGCUAAUAUUUUUUUAAUAAAAUGUGUAAUGGACCUGUGUCGAAUGUGCCUCCAUUUGGUGAGAUUAUUGGGGUGUACUCUCCCCGUUUAGGCCCUGACCACUAGCUUUCAUCAUUCUGAUCCCGACCAGCUAAGACUCAUCUCACACUCAACUAGCUAGCAAUAAUAACUUGUUGGGUCCAAUGACCCAAAAUACUUAAGCUCAGUUAUUAUGUUUAGCUUAAUCAAGCUUCUGUACUCCCACAUUUAGUAAUAACUAUCCGAUGUGAGAUUAUUGGGAUGUCAAAAUAUCUCUGUGUCGGACACGAGUCUGAUAUGGAUAUGCAAGACUAAUAAAAGUAUUU
Molecule: long non-coding RNA, 469 nt
Filed under: Ananas comosus (pineapple)
Lineage: Eukaryota; Viridiplantae; Streptophyta; Magnoliopsida; Poales; Bromeliaceae
Description: long non-coding RNA (ACOM_LNC027007)
Source: RNAcentral